UUAUAUAAUAAUUAUGGUGAUAAUAAUCUGUUAUAAAAAAGGAGAGGAGAAGAGGAGAACAAUGGAGAGCGGCGUUGAACGAAAGGAAAUUGGAGCUGCUAACCUUUCCGAUUGGAACGGUUCAGAGGCAUUGAGGAAAGAAAAUGUAUUGGAGAAGUAACUUGCUUGACUUCGGUUCUUUGGUAGAGCCAGCCUCACGCAUAUCAAGUCCAGGGAGCGCUAUCCAGUCAAACUCGUGUUGAAAUCUCUCAGUUAUGAUAUAAUGUCCUAUAUUUUUGGACACAUACAAUUUUAUUCUUUUAUUUUGGUGUAUUUGAUGUUCUUAGACUUAUUAUUGGAGAUUAUAUGUCCUUUAUGUGAUGAUUUUCAUGUUUUGGGAAAUGAUAUUUAGUAACACUAGAGUUUUCGCGUUA
Solanum lycopersicum (tomato) is the source of this 413-nucleotide non-coding RNA. The record is from RefSeq and is a predicted model, not a curated record. NCBI's taxonomy places the organism in Eukaryota, Viridiplantae, Streptophyta, Magnoliopsida, Solanales, Solanaceae.